CCUACGGGAGGCAGCAGUGGGGAAUUUUUGACAAUGGGCGCAAGCCUGAUCCAGCUAUUCCGCGUGUGGGAAGACGGCCUUCGGGUUGUAAACCACUUUUGUAGAGAACGAAAAGUCUGUUGAUAAUACCGAUAGAUGAUGACGGUACUCUAAGAAUAAGCACCGGCUAACUACGUGCCAGCAGCCGCGGUAAUACGUAGGGUGCGAGCGUUAAUCGGAAUUACUGGGCGUAAAGGGUGUGCAGGCGGUUUUGAAAGAUGGAUGUGAAAGCCCCGGGCUUAACCUGGGAAAGACAUACAUGACUGCAAGACUAGAGUGCGUCAGAGGGGGGUGGAAUUCCAAGUGUAGCAGUGAAAUGCGUAGAUAUUUGGAAGAACACCGAUGGCGAAGGCAGCCCCCUGGGACGCAACUGACGCUCAUACACGAAAGCGUGGGGAGCAAACAGGAUUAGAUACCCCAGUAGUC
Molecule: ribosomal RNA, 465 nt
Filed under: uncultured bacterium
Lineage: Bacteria
Description: partial 16S ribosomal RNA
Rfam family: Bacterial small subunit ribosomal RNA
Source: RNAcentral